This 436-nucleotide unclassified non-coding RNA is filed under the name Hevea brasiliensis (rubber tree). Lineage: Eukaryota; Viridiplantae; Streptophyta; Magnoliopsida; Malpighiales; Euphorbiaceae. The record is from RNAcentral.
UUAACAGUAGUUUCAACAGCAAUGUCAAACGGGUUCUUAAUAUACGAAACAUCCCACACUUCCAAGAUAGUCACCCAAUUAGGAUUAAUUUUUCUUAGGGAAGUUAUAGCACAAAAAAUUGAAGGGAGUUUUGCCCUUUGUGAAGUUAGACGAGCCACUGAAACCAAAAAGUUUUGACAGCUUAAGCCAUUGAAUUCUCCAAGGUCACAGAACAGAACAAUAUAGAAAGGAAAGAAGCAGUGCACUGCCAUUUUGGUUUUACUGUGUGCCUUAACAGUAUGUUUGCAUGAAGAACAUAUAUUUUGCAUGGUGAAAGGUCCAGCUCUUUCUCUCAAUUUACACUCUUUGUAUACUUUAAAUUGUGAAAUAACAAAUAUAAUUCAUUAUUUUAAUGUGAUUAUAUUCUAAUGUAUAGUGAUAAAACUUCAGACAAGAG